RNAcentral lists this ribosomal RNA (440 nucleotides) under uncultured bacterium. RNAcentral describes it as "partial 16S ribosomal RNA". It matches the Rfam family "Bacterial small subunit ribosomal RNA", at positions 338 to 795 of the family's 1533-position model. The record is from RNAcentral.
CCUACGGGCGGCAGUAGUGGGGAAUAUUGCACAAUGGGGGAAACCCUGAUGCAGCGACGCCGCGUGAGUGAAGAAGUAUUUCGGUACGUAAAGCUCUAUCAGCAGGGAAGAAAAUGACGGUACCUGACUAAGAAGCCCCGGCUAACUACGGGCCAGCAGCCGCGGUAAUACGUAGGGGGCAAGCGUUAUCCGGAUUUACUGGGUGUAAAGGGAGCGUAGACGGCAGCGCAAGUCUGGAGUGAAAUCCCAUGGCUUAACCAUGGAACUGCUUUGGAAACUGUGCAGCUAGAGUGCAGGAGAGGUAAGCGGAAUUCCUAGUGUAGCGGUGAAAUGCGUAGAUAUUAGGAGGAACACCAGUGGCGAAGGCGGCUUACUGGACUGUAACUGACGUUGAGGCUCGAAAGCGUGGGGAGCAAACAGGAUUAGAUACCCCAGUAGUC